RNAcentral lists this ribosomal RNA (459 nucleotides) under uncultured bacterium. RNAcentral describes it as "partial 16S ribosomal RNA". It matches the Rfam family "Bacterial small subunit ribosomal RNA", at positions 338 to 795 of the family's 1533-position model. The record is from RNAcentral.
CCUACGGGGGACAGCAGUGAGGAAUAUUGGUCAAUGGCCGGAAGGCUGAACCAGCCAAGCCGCGUGAAGGACGAAGGUGCCAAGCAUUGUAAACUUCUUUUGUCAAGGGAAAAAAUCAGGCUCGAGAGCCUGACCGAGGGUACUAGAAGAAAAAGCAUCGGCUAAAUCCGUGCAAGCAGCCGCGGUAAUACGGAGGAUGCGAGCGUUAUCGGGAUGUAUUGGGGUUAAUGGGUGCGUAGGAGGGCUGUUCAGUCAGAGGUAAAAGCCGGGGGCCCAACCCCGGCGAGCCGUUGAAACUGGGUGUCUUGAGAUGUCGAGAGGUAUGCGGAAUGCGCAGUGUAGCGGUGAAAUGCUUAGAUAUUGCGCAGAACUCCGAUUGCGAAGGCAGCAUACCGGCGGCGAUCUGACGCUGAGGCACGAAAGCGUGGGUAUCGAACAGGAUUAGAUACCCCUGUAGUC